ACAGAUAGAUAAACCACAGGGUGUUAGAAAAGUCUUCCUAUAAGGGAAAGCUCAUCACUAUGGAAACAAUGGCACAGUCUGGAGCGCUGGCUGUGAGGGAUACUAGCUGGAAGUACCUCCGUUUCCUGUGAAAAAGACCCGAAAAAAUCCAUAAAAUAUGCACAUUUCAAGUUUUAGGAUUAUUAUCUCGGCAGUGAUAGUGUUUGACUGGAAACAGUGUAGCACUAAAGCCUUUCCCAGGCUGCUGUGUGACUGCCGGAUCAGAGCGAGCAAUCCUGAGAACCCUACUGUGUCAGUAAAUAAUGUGAGUUGGUGUUACCAGCACUCAGACCACAUUUGUCACCAUCCGCAAAAACAGAGGUUGGAACCUUUGCUGGAAGAUAGCAUAAAAAUUCACCUCAUG
Molecule: long non-coding RNA, 403 nt
Organism: Onychostoma macrolepis
Lineage: Eukaryota; Metazoa; Chordata; Actinopteri; Cypriniformes; Cyprinidae
Exons: 3
Source: RefSeq, a predicted model, not a curated record